UUUCCGUAGGUGAACCUGCGGAAGGAUCAUUAAUGAGAAUAUGCCCUUCGGGGUAGAUCUCCCACCCUUUGUUUAUAUUACCUUUGUUGCUUUGGCAGGCCCGUCUUCGGACCACCGGCUUCGGCUGGUCAGUGCUUGCCAGAGGACCCAAAACUCUUAUUAUUAAUGUCGUCUGAGUACUAUAUAAUAGUUAAAACUUUCAACAACGGAUCUCUUGGUUCUG
RNAcentral lists this unclassified non-coding RNA (223 nucleotides) under plant metagenome. RNAcentral's name for it is "partial contains small subunit ribosomal RNA, internal transcribed spacer 1, and 5.8S ribosomal RNA". The record is from RNAcentral.